Lathyrus oleraceus (garden pea) is the source of this 587-nucleotide long non-coding RNA. RefSeq lists it as uncharacterized. NCBI's taxonomy places the organism in Eukaryota, Viridiplantae, Streptophyta, Magnoliopsida, Fabales, Fabaceae. The transcript is spliced from 2 exons. The record is from RefSeq and is a predicted model, not a curated record.
AAAAAUGUGUGGUGAGAGAAACAGAGAAUUGAAAAGAAAUAUUUUUCCAAAAGCAUUACCGUAUUUCACUUGUUCUUCAUUUUCGGUAACCCAAAAUCGUCCCGAUUAUUCACCGAAACACAAAACCGAUUUCAUAUCUUUGAAGUUCGUUGAGUCCAGGUCACAAAUAUCCAAGUUUCAUUUCAUUCCGGCGUCGUUUCACCGAUCAAAAGAGACGUUGAAGUCAGGUACUCACGAAGGCAGCCAGCACUGCGUCGGUGACGGUUUCCAGCUUUCGGUCGAUCAUUUGGACGAUCAGAAGUUCAUCCUCUUCACACAAGGGGUAUCGUGCAGAUACUCCAGAGUAGUAUCACUGAAGUAAGAGGACGGUAGCUCGCUCGAGAUUAGCUGGAGGGUUUCCGUAUUUUAGUUAGGUAAUGAGUCAAUGCUCUGGUCAUGUAACACUGGGUAGAUUGGUAGUAUCGAACUCAUAUCUCAUUGGAGAUGCAGUAUGUUAUUACUUUAGUUAUGUUAUCUUGAGAUGAUUGUUGAGAGAUGAUCAUGGUAUGAGACACGGAUCAUUUUAUGAAAUACAUGAGUAUUCUUUA